UGCCAGCAGCCGCGGUAAUACGUAGGGUGCAAGCGUUAUCCGGAAUUACUGGGCGUAAAGAGUGUGUAGGCGGUCUUUUAAGUUAGAUGUUAAAUCUGCGGGCUCAACUCGUAGGCUGCAUCUAAUACUGGGAGACUUGAGAGUGGAAGGGGCUGACGGAAUUUUCGGUGGAGCGGUAAAAUGCGUAGAUAUCGAAAAGAACACCAAUGGCGAAGGCAGUCAGCUGGGCCAUUUCUGACGCUGAGACACGAAAGCGUGGGGAGCGAUCGGGAUUAGAUACCCCGGUAGUCCACGCCGUAAACGAUCUCUACUAGCUUUUUCGGGCAUCGACCCCUGGAGAAGCGAAGCUAACGCGUUAAGUAGAGCGCCUGGGGAGUACGAGCGCAAGCUUAAAACUUAAAGGAAUUGGCGGGGGA
Molecule: ribosomal RNA, 416 nt
Filed under: uncultured bacterium
Lineage: Bacteria
Description: bacterial SSU rRNA
Rfam family: Bacterial small subunit ribosomal RNA
Source: RNAcentral